UCCCUGGAGGACUAGUGGUUAGGCCACAGUGCUCCCCCCGCAGCGGCACGGGUUUGAUUCCUAGCCAGGGAG
This 72-nucleotide transfer RNA is filed under the name Pangasius djambal. RNAcentral's name for it is "tRNA-Gly". Lineage: Eukaryota; Metazoa; Chordata; Actinopteri; Siluriformes; Pangasiidae. The record is from RNAcentral.